Molecule: long non-coding RNA, 848 nt
Organism: Macrobrachium nipponense
Lineage: Eukaryota; Metazoa; Arthropoda; Malacostraca; Decapoda; Palaemonidae
Exons: 4
Source: RefSeq, a predicted model, not a curated record
AAACCCUUCAGGAAAGUAUACGUAUCACAUGUAACAUGUAGUGUAACAAAGUAUGAACAGUAAGGUUUUUACAUACAGUAGUACAUAUUACAUACGUACAUAACUUUUUUUUACAGGAAUUUCCAACCAAGUUUGAUUAUGUACAUAUGUACAUGUUAUAAACCACUGUACGUAUGGUUACUGUAUGUAACUUACUAAACAUACAUAACAUGACUUAACUUUGAUACUUUUUUGGUACAUUCCAGAAAACCAGGACCCCCUCCAUGAUGCAGGCUAUGGGGCCACAUAAAACUUUGUCCAGGGUUACUACAUAACAUAGCACGACAACUGUAAACUAUGUACUACUGUACUAAAGAACCCCCUGAAUGAUGUAGGCUAUGGGGCCACAUAAGACUUUGUGCAUCCAGGGUUACGUUGAACGACAAAUUUAAACUAAAAAACCCCCUGAAUGAUGUAGGCUAUGGGGCCACAUAAGACUUUGUGCAUCCAGGGUUACGUUGAACGACAAAUUUAAACUAAAAAGCUACCAGACUGGGAUUUUAGUGUACUCCAGGAUCUAACAAAUACAUACUACUACGAAGUGUACAGUGCAUAAUAUAGUGUUUAGUGUAUAAUCUAACCUAAGGAUUAAGUGUAGUACAUUGUGCUUUAUAGUGUCACAAGAGUUUAAUAAAGAAUUAUACCUUCAAGAACCAUCCUUUGCCAUUGAAAUAACCACACUACACAUCAUGCAAUAUACUUGCAUGUCACACAGGUAAGGUCUCUAACUUUUUCUUAGUUUAAGGCAUAUUUCCAAGUGUCGUUCCGGCUUACGACGAUUUUCGGCUUACGACGAGCCUCAAGAACGG